UGAGAGCAAGCGUACAUCCAUCCAUGUGAUUAUCAGACUACACUUAAAGAUAAAGAAAAUGGCUACACGGUGCUGUCUCUUCUCUGUGUCCUCGAGCUCCAGAAUCUGAAGAGGGAGCAAAUGAUGCGCUCAGAGCCGCCUUCGGUGAGCAGCCAUGCUAAUACACCUGCCAACGGUGAUGGGCCUAAAUAAGCCAACGUUCGCUGUGGCUAACGUUGAUACAGAGUACGAAGUUGCGAAACAAUUCUUCAGCUUGCAAAAACAAUCACAGCCAAUCGAGGGGAAUUAGACUAAACAGCACGUCCUCUCAAAGUACCACACACAUGUGAUCGCAAUGCCCAGCGUACUGACUGCUUUCAAACAUGCCUUAACAUUCGGUGCCUCCACAGCAAUGUGCGAGAAUUCAAUCUCCGUGCUGAGAAACGUUCGGACCAUAGACGCAGAAUGCACCACAAAAGAAAGGCACAGUUGGUCCAACUAGCGUUUGAAAAGGACUUAACACGAAAAUGCACAACUGAGUGGAAGGACACCGUUCUUACGAGGUUCAGUACCAGCACUAGCCGCCUGCAACUCUUUUAAAGGAAAGUUUUUCUGGCAAUCCCCUUCCAUGAAGAUUCACAGUCUGAAGACUGGCGGCCAUCUGCAAUAUAACAUGGAGAUACAACCGUGGAGAUUGGUGGAAUAUCACUUGUCCGGUUCUGCCACCGCAUCUCAGUUGGCUUCAAGCAAAGAUUUGACUCCACUGAAACACCGUAAGAACAGUAGUGAAUUUUCCCUGGAUUCCCUGGAGAAUCACCUGGAUGAUCCUCAAUCCUUUGAUGAUUAUGUUUUAUGGAGGUGAGUCAAAAAUUUUACUUUUUGGAUGACACAGGUCCCAUUAUGUUUGAUGUGAAGCAAAUACAGCAUUUCACAGUAAGUCCAUCAUACCAACAGUCAAACAUGGUUGUGGUAGUGUGAUGGUGUGGAGAUCAUUUUCUGCCUCUGCACGCGCGCACACACACACACACACACACACACAGGUCCAUUAAUUCAUAUCACGGAUUGAGUGACUUUGAGGGUUCUGAGACUAUGACUGCUAAACUGACCACAGAAAAAAAAUGAUAUGUGCCUUGCGCCGGAUCAGCCUAAGUGCACCUGCUGUUCUUCUUGACAAGGACGUCGAGGCAGUGGUUCUGAGUGAGCCAGUAAGGAAUUGAACUUUCCCGCCCCUCAGGAGCAGUUGCUCAGCAACAGCUUCAGAGUGCAGGGUCCAUCAAAGCUACUUUCUCAUUCAUUCUAUUCAAUUUUGGUUGAAAUGAAAAGCCUGUAUUCCCACACAAAGUCUUACGCAACAGAUAAUUACAGAUAUUUUUUUCCCAUAGAGAUUUAUACUUUUGUUAUUGAUGGACUGUAGGUAUGUAUGCAAAUGUAGCAAUGGAGGCUAUGAUUUCUUUAAAAAGUAGCCUAACCGCACACCUAUUUGUUUAUUUUAAUUGGACUGGUUACGUCUAUGUGCAAGUUAUAUGGAGUGUUUCAUUUGGUCUUUAUGCAUUCAUUUUGUUUUUAUUUAAUUUUCAUUCUCUAAAUGUGUAGUGAAAUUUUAGUUUGAGAAGUUGCAUGCUUCAUGGAUGACUUUCAUGUAUAUCCAGUCCAAAUAUUUUCAGCCUGCUCUCCUUAAUACAUUUACAUACUGAGACCGUAAUCUCAAAACCGAGUGCAAAUUGCAUAUUUAUGAGAUUCUGUUGAUAUCACUCGGAACAUGAAAUACAUACUUUGAUCUUGUAUUACAUUUGGCUGUUUUAUCACAUACGGUGCUGCAUGCACUGAAGUAAUUGCAAUCAGUCAGAAAAUGAUUUUAAGAUUUGCAUUGUUUUAAGAUUUUAAUCAUUGGUAAGAUGCAGACUGAAGAAUAUCCAUUGCUCCCCACAUGUAAAAAUAGUCUUCAUACAAUGAGAUCCAUAUGUCUCAGGACAGAUAGAUAUUUGUUUAUUGAUUUGGCUCUGUAUUCCACAGUGUGAAAAAUAAAAUGGCAUGUUAUAAUUAAGGUCUCAAUAUGUUAAGACAUUUGCGUGGAUUGAGUACAGCAGGCGUGCAGGUGUGAUGUGUGAUGCUUUCUAUGCUGGCUCUUGGGACUAAGCUUUCACUGUCUGUAGCGUAAGACACUGAGGGCCCAGAAUCGCUUUCUUCUCUCUCCCGCCUCCACAUCUAGUCAGGUUUCAUGUUGAUGAUUAAACCGAAUCAGAUGGUUAACAUGUAUGAUGCUAAGGAACUCUGCUACAGUGCAUUAGCAUCAUACAUGUUAGCCAUCUGAUUCGGUUUAAUCAUCGACAUGUAUUCCCGUAACAUCUCCUUUCUACACUUUUUUUGUUUCUGUUUUAUUAACGAUAAAAAUCCACUGAACAUCAUUUCUGAUCUUUUCUGUCAAACUUUACAU
Conger conger (European conger) is the source of this 2413-nucleotide long non-coding RNA. RefSeq lists it as uncharacterized. The record is from RefSeq and is a predicted model, not a curated record. The transcript has 3 exons. NCBI's taxonomy places the organism in Eukaryota, Metazoa, Chordata, Actinopteri, Anguilliformes, Congridae.